Molecule: transfer RNA, 60 nt
Filed under: Phrynocephalus vlangalii (Pylzow's toadhead agama)
Lineage: Eukaryota; Metazoa; Chordata; Lepidosauria; Squamata; Agamidae
Description: tRNA-Ser
Source: RNAcentral
GAAGGGUUUCAAUUGAACUGCUAAUUCUCACACCUGAAACUAAAACCUCAGACCCUUCAA